RNAcentral lists this ribosomal RNA (253 nucleotides) under uncultured bacterium. Its description in RNAcentral is "partial 16S ribosomal RNA". It matches the Rfam family "Bacterial small subunit ribosomal RNA", at positions 524 to 776 of the family's 1533-position model. The record is from RNAcentral.
UACAGAGGUCUCAAGCGUUGUUCGGAUUCAUUGGGCGUAAAGGGUGCGUAGGUGGCGGGGUAAGUUGGAUGUGAAAUCUCGGAGCUUAACUCCGAAACUGCAUUCAAUACUGCCUUGCUCGAGUACUGGAGAGGAGAUUGGAAUUUACGGUGUAGCAGUGAAAUGCGUAGAUAUCGUAAGGAAGACCGGUGGCGAAGGCGGAUCUCUGGACAGUUACUGACACUGAGGCACGAAGGCCAGGGGAGCAAACGGG